This 220-nucleotide ribosomal RNA is filed under the name uncultured bacterium. RNAcentral describes it as "partial 16S ribosomal RNA". It matches the Rfam family "Bacterial small subunit ribosomal RNA", at positions 111 to 334 of the family's 1533-position model. The record is from RNAcentral.
UAAUGCAUCGGAACGUACCCAGAAAUGGGGGAUAACGUAGCGAAAGUUACGCUAAUACCGCAUAUUCUCUGAGGAGGAAAGCAGGGGAUCGCAAGACCUUGCGCUUUUGGAGCGGCCGAUGUUGGAUUAGCUAGUUGGUGGGGUAAAGGCCCACCAAGGCUACGAUCCAUAGCUGGUCUGAGAGGAUGAUCAGCCACACUGGGACUGAGACACGGCCCAG